Molecule: long non-coding RNA, 1005 nt
Organism: Mercenaria mercenaria
Lineage: Eukaryota; Metazoa; Mollusca; Bivalvia; Venerida; Veneridae
Exons: 5
Source: RefSeq, a predicted model, not a curated record
UGUAGGCCCUAAAGAUAAAGAAAGUGAAAAGAAAUGUGAAAAAGAAAUGUUCCAGGCAAAAAAGGACGGCAGCUCGAAUAUAUAACCUUAAAAUAUGAACCAAGUCCAAGUCAGGGACAUGGUCUAGCCGAGACAGAAUAUUCAGACUUGAAGCCAGGGUCUAAAGAUAAAGAAAGAGGAAAAGAAAAAGAAAAUGCUGAAUGCAGACAAGAAGACCAGCACGAAUAUGUAAAAAUGAAGUAUGAAUCAGAUCAGGUGCAUGGUCCAGCCGAGGCAGAUUAUGUUAACUUGAAAACAGACUUGAAGUCAGGUGGAGGUUGUAAAGCAAAACCACGCAAGAAAAGAGUUUCUUAUGUGAACCUGGGACUCACACGAAUAUUUUAAUUUGUUUGGCGAGUUUAUAUUUCAAAACUGUUUGUUCAAUCCAGAAGAACCCGUUGGUUAUUACAAUAUUCUAGAAUUUACAAUAAUCUUGAUUUGUUGCACGGUUACAAAUGACAAAAUGUACAUGUAAAAUAUAAAAAUAAUGUGAAUGUGACUAUUAACCUUUGGCAUAAUUGUACGUUUAGUUUAUAUAUUUUAGUUUAACUAUGCUGCGUGCAUAUGCAUCUGAUAAUGAUUCUAUUUAUGUAAUUAGAUGUUGAGAAAUCUGAUACAUUUUGUAAUCAGCUAUUUCACACUUUCUGAACACAUCUUAAAUGAAAUCAUUUCGCCCAAUACUAUAAAAUGUACAUAAUAAAUGUCUUGAUAAUAUGGUACUAAUUAUAUUUUAUUUUGUGGAUUUUCUGUUAAGAAAUUGUACAUCAUUACUCACAGUAGCACGUUCGUUGUUAGGUAACGAAUGUAAUCUAUUUUCCUGCUUUAUGGACAAUGUUGCUUUGUCUGAUAUAUGUUAAUAUCUUCAAUAUCUUGCCUUUUGUAAAACGUAUGAUUGUUUAUCUUACUUUUAGUUAUCAUAUUUAUGCAUAUGCACAUGAAAUACAAAAUGAAUAUCUUAAGAUUAGG